UCUACCUUCUUCAUUACCAAACUAUAUUGUUUUACUCAUGCAGGUUGACCUUAUAGAAGCACAGGAAACUGCACCUUUAUGAUGUCUACAUCUGGAUGCAGAGAAUGAAGUUCUUCAACUUCAACAGACAUUAUUCUCUAUGAAAGCAAUACAAAAGCAAUGUGAAACGCUACAGAAGAAUAAGAAGCAGCUGAAACAAGAAGUAGUAAACCUCAAAAGUUAUAUGGAGAGAAAUAUGUUAGAACGUGGUGAAGCUGAACAGUAUAAACUGUUGACUGAAGAAAAAGCAAGGAGGGAAAUAGCAGAAAAAUUAAACGAAGCCGUUCUCACCUUGCAGAAACAAGCAGCAGUAUCUCAAGAACAGUUAGCACAGUUAAAGGAGGAUAAUACUACUUCAAUAAAAACUCAGAUGGAACUCACAAUCAAAGAUAUGGAAUCUGAAAUCUCCAGAAUAAAAACUUCGCAAGCCAACUUUAAUAAAACCGAAUUGGAAAGAUAUAAGGAACUCUACCUAGAAGAAGUAAAAGUUAGAGAAUCCUUGUCAAAUGAACUGAAUAGAACUAAUGAGAUGAUAGCAGAGGUCAGUACGCAACUUACUGUGGAGAAAAAGCAGACCAGAUCUCUAUUCACUGGCACUACGAGGCCAGUCCUAGAGUCAUCUUGUGUUAGAAAUCUUAAUGAUAGUGAAGGUCUCAACAGAAAACAUAUUCCAAGAAAAAAGAGGUCUGCUUUUAAGAGCAUGGAGAGCUACUUGUUGAAGAUGCAGUGGAAGUUGCAAAAUGAUAUAACUACAGAAGUAGCAGGUGUCCACUAACCAUGCCUCCACCAAACCAAAAAGCCUUCAAUAUCCAGACAAAACUGGGAUAGAUGUCCCUCUUGAGUUCCAAUAGUGCCUUGUUUUACACCUGUCAGAGUAUCUAUGACUUGCUGCUACUAAAUGUGAACUGGAUCUUAUAUAGCUUCUCCUCUAGAAUCUACACACAAGGAAAAUCUGAAUCAAGAUCCAGUGUUGGAAGCAUCAAAAGAAUAUGCACAGAUUUUAAGCAGAAAAUACAUGGUCUGAAAGAUAAGGCAAUUUUAUUUCUGGGCUUUUCACAUGAUAUUUUGUUUCCCAUUGAGUAUAUGAUGUGAACAUUUUUACUAAAGGGAAAUAUUCUGUAUUAUACAUGUCUGAUGAAAAUUUAUAUAGUAUUUUAAAUAAUGUUUCUUGACCUCUUCAGCUAACUUUUAAGUGGAUUUUGCAAAUGAAAACCAGUAUUAUUGAGUUUUACAUACUCGAACUCCUCAAAUGUUAACUGUUUAAACAGCCAAAUAAUGAAGUUGCCAUUAAUAAUUUAGUGGAAUCAACUGAUGGCUUGUUUGUAUUUUAUAAUUUUUAUCUUUAUAUAUAGUGAUAGAUUUAAGUUUAGACAGACAUCAUUUUGGUAUACUGGUACUGUGGUCAUUGUCAAUGUUUGGAUAUAUUACAAUUGUUAUAGUGCAAUCAAACUUAUAUAAUUUUAAUUUUAAGCACUGAUUUAUAUAGCUCUUUCCUUGUGGAAAAAUAAGGUUUGCCUAAGGCUUUUCACUUUUUCUUUUUUUUUUCUUUUUGAGACAGAGUCUUGCUCUGUCGCCCAGA
This is an RNA transcript of Nomascus leucogenys (northern white-cheeked gibbon), 1618 nucleotides long. It is a transcript of the gene named putative coiled-coil domain-containing protein 144C, with no coding region annotated. NCBI's taxonomy places the organism in Eukaryota, Metazoa, Chordata, Mammalia, Primates, Hylobatidae. The transcript has 6 exons. The record is from RefSeq and is a predicted model, not a curated record.